RNAcentral lists this ribosomal RNA (253 nucleotides) under uncultured bacterium. Its description in RNAcentral is "partial 16S ribosomal RNA". It matches the Rfam family "Bacterial small subunit ribosomal RNA", at positions 524 to 776 of the family's 1533-position model. The record is from RNAcentral.
UACGAAGGGGGCUAGCGUUGUUCGGAAUCACUGGGCGUAAAGCGCACGUAGGCGGGUCGUUAAGUCGGGGGUGAAAUCCUGGGGCUCAACCUCAGAACUGCCUUCGAUACUGGCGACCUUGAGUCCGGGAGAGGUGAGUGGAACUCCGAGUGUAGAGGUGAAAUUCGUAGAUAUUCGGAAGAACACCAGUGGCGAAGGCGGCUCACUGGCCCGGUACUGACGCUGAGGUGCGAAAGCGUGGGGAGCAAACAGG